GCCCUCUCAUCCCAGCCUUGCCAGCUAAGCCUCAUCCUCACUUCUGGCUGGCCAAGUCAGCUUCCGACAGGGUCAAGCUUACUUCCCGUGGGUUACGCCCACUUCCGCUAGGUCACGCCUCUUUCUGGAGAAUCACCUCAUUUCCAGAAUACAGUAUAGUGCUGGCUUCUCAUGGAUUAGGCUCACUUUUGGCAGAUCAGGCCCACUGCCGGCAGAUCAGGACCGAUUCCUGGCUUGCCAAGGCUGCAGAACUCCUCUCUCUCAGGAGGGAAACCAAUUCCAAACCCAGCCUCAUCGGGAGAGAAAAAAAAAUUUUUUUUAAUAUCUGAGAGCACAUAUAAAUAGUAAUGGUACUUAGGAACCUGUAUUGAUAAUCAAAGAAAUUGCAUAUUCUGUGACCCAGCCAUUGUACUAGGAAUACAUCCUGAGGAAGUCAUCAGAGACGUGAGUACACAUUUGUUCACACAGAUGCACACUGGAGCAUUACUAUAUAAAUGAAAAAGUGAAAACCAUCCUCAAGUCUAAUAAUAAAGGGCUGAUUAAUUUUACAUGUGGCUUAAAUACAUAUCCCUAGUAUAAUAAUUGCUAAGAUAUACUGAGUGCUUACCAUAUGCCACUCAUUGAUUUAAGAGCUAUACAUAUAUUAACUCAUUUUGCCUAUGUGAUCGAUUAUAGUGUGAUUAUACAGGAAUAUUUAAGGCUUGAGAAAAUGUUUACACUCUAUCAUAAUGAAAAAAGUGUAUUACAAAAUUUUAAAACUGUGUAGAUGCAAAAAGUCAGUGUAUUACAAAACUAUUUUUUAAAACUGUGUAGAUGCAAAAAGUCAUGUUUUUUAAAAACUAAAACAUGAAAUUGCUGUUUUUAUUUUCUUUUUUGCCAUUUGGAGAAUUUUCUGGAUUUUCCACACUAAUAAUCACUUAUUACUUAAAAGAAAAUGAUUUCAAAAUAAAAACAUAGUCAGGGUAUUAGGCCAUGCCUGAGGGCCUGAUGCCCAACUGAGUCCAGCUAGUGCUAUGGCCACAGGGAGCCAGUGACCCCUGGGGCUGACCAU
Molecule: long non-coding RNA, 1051 nt
Filed under: Macaca mulatta (Rhesus monkey)
Lineage: Eukaryota; Metazoa; Chordata; Mammalia; Primates; Cercopithecidae
Description: lncRNA (ENSMMUG00000059772.1)
Source: RNAcentral